This 255-nucleotide ribosomal RNA is filed under the name uncultured bacterium. Its description in RNAcentral is "partial 16S ribosomal RNA". It matches the Rfam family "Bacterial small subunit ribosomal RNA", at positions 793 to 1055 of the family's 1533-position model. The record is from RNAcentral.
GUCCACGCCUAACGAUGACGACUAGAUGUCGCGGUAUUGACCCCGCGGUGCCGCAGCUAACGCAUUAAGUCGUCCGCCUGGGAGUACGGCCGCAAGGUUGAACUCAAGGAAUUGACGGGGCCCGGCACAAGCAGUGGAGCAUGUGGUUCAAUUCGACGCAACGCGAAACCUUAACCUGGACUUGACAUACUCGGACCGCCUGGGAGACCAGGUUUCCCCGCAAGGGCCGGGAUACAGGUGCUGCAUGGCUGUCGU